UUUUCCCUUUCCUGCCCUCUGAAGAUGCAUGGGAAUUUCAUGUUUAUGUUGUAAGCAUGUUCACUGACUAAUAACUUAUUGUUUACAGUUGCUAGCCUGUGCUGAAUUUCUUUAAGGGCAUUAAUUAUCAAGGGUACCAUUUUCUAUUGCCUGUCUGAGUAAGCUCAGGAACAGGAUGACAUUUUAAGUACACCUUUAGGCUAUGCUCUGUCUUCACAUGAUGCUAAAUUCAGAGAACAAAAGACAAAACCAAUCUGAAAAACCACCAAGCCAUUUGUCUGGCACCACAUAGUCAACAGGUCCAGCCAAAGGAUUGAAUGCUCACAUUUUAUUUGCUUUUUAACUGAGAUCCUUGGGCAGAGAGAGAGAGAGAAAGGGAGACGCAAGAGCUCUGUAGCAAAUGACAUGUGCUCAUUCCACUUCAGAGGGUGCUGUGAGUGAAAUGGAAUAUCCAGUCCCUAACUUUGAGGAACACACAACCUGGUACAGAGAACAAACUGCAUAGGAUUAAAGGAUAAUUCUGACCAAGGGCGAUAAGACAAGAUUCAUGUUGUAAAGUUCCUAAGGAACUGCACAUAAAGAAAUACUUCUACUUUUUUUUCCGUAUGUUGUGUUCUUUGUCUUUCUUUUGCAGAGAUGGAGUUGAAUGGUUGUUCAAUGAUCUGCAGCUCAGCUGUUAUUUCUCUCCCAAAGUUCAAGUUUUCUCUAAGUAGCUUCAUUCAAAUCAUUCAUCCAGCUGCAGUUUAUCAAGCAAUUACAAUAUUUUAGUAUCAACGUAUCAGUGAUAGAGUGACAAUAGUUGACAGGACAGGAGCUGGGACAAGUGCUGCUUUAAGGAGAGCAGAGGAGUUUGGAAAUAAGGGGAAAAUGUUCUGGAGAAGAGGGAAUCUGAAUUUGGCUUUGAAAUUUGAAUAGUGGUCCUAAGGCACAAGGGACAGAAUUCCUGGCAGCAGGAUCCAAGAUGGGAAAGGCCCAGAGAUGGGGCAGGUUAUUAUGCAUUUGAAGACCUCUGGAUUUGCUGAAGCAGCUGCAGAAUAUAUAGGUAAGAAUAUUUUCCACCAUUGCUGCUCAGACGUAUCGCUUUAUGAAGGAGGUGGAAGGAGGUCAGAUCAUACUCAGCACUUCCGAGUGGGGAAGAAAGAGGGAGGACUAGGACCUGGACUCAAGGAUUCUGCUCCAGACCUUUACUUGCACCACAAGCCUUCCUCCUCUGCCUCAUCCAUGCUCCCUAGUAUGCCGAGGAUGCAGCCCCAGCCAGAGGCUUCAGAAAGCUUUAAGGGGAGAGGAGCAUCCAGCAAACCAGAUGUAACUGUCUCCAGUUUCAUUUCUUAAUGUACCAGUUGCAGGUUCCUUAAAGAUCCUCGGGGGUAAAUCACCAACAAGAAUUAGCACAUCACCAGUCCAGCUUCCUCUUCCUAGCAGGAUUCUCGUGUUCCUUGGAAUCAAGCCUGGAAAUGGAAAUCUGGUGUAGUCUCAUGUUGUGAGGCAAUGCAGCCCAGCCUUUGAAAACAGAUAGACCUGCCAUGCACUUAUUCCAGACUACAAGCUGGGGAUACCAAGAUGCAUUAGACAGAUGGUUGUUCCUUUUUGUUGGAUUACAAAGACCUCCCCGUGUGUUUGAAACAUCUGUGAUGAGAGACCAAGGUUCUAACUGUGAUUCUGUCACGACUGGUAGAGUUGGUCUGGAGCAAGCCACUUACCCCUUUCAGCCAGUUUCCUCCCUGUAAAACAUGGAAAACAAUUCCUGUCACAUCUAUAUCAGAGAAGUGACAUGGAACGCAAAUAAACAACUGAUGCAACUAUAUCCUGCAAAUUUCAAGCUCUGAGUCCUUUUGGGGGCCCUUUGGUUCUUCAGCUUGACUAGCCCUGAAGUCAUUUCUUUAGGUGACUUAUUGUUCUGAGUUUGAAGACUCAAUGUUAAACCCACAAAAUGCAGCCACAGCAGUGGUUUCAUUAUCAAAACUCCAACAAGCAUUCCAGCCAGACUAAUUCCCUACUGGAUUCACUUAAUGUGUAAGGAGAUCUUUCAGCCAGACUUCACUGUGGGAAAAAAAAAAAAAAAAAGAAGAAGAAAGAUAGAAAGAAAGAAAAAAAGUAUAAAGGAAAAUUAGGAGAAAUGUGUUUUCCUUUUCUAACCAGUCUAGCAUUAUGCUAAUUUAAGGCUCUCUUUAUAAAGAUAUAGGACUUCCUCCUUUGAUUUAUUUUCAUGAUUAGGGGCCCUCACAAACAGCUGCAUGUAAAUGUGAGAGGCACCCUGUUUGCAUUUCAAGCCAGAAGAACCCUGGAAAUGGAUUUUUAAAAGGAGAGCUCAUUCCUAUCCCCUGGAGAAUUUAUCUUUAUUAAAGCCUUGAGGAAUUAAGAGACCAUGUUGGGGAACCCCCUGUGGCAAGGACCUGUGGGCAGCCUCUUGGAGCUGAUGAUAUCCUUGACAGACAGCCAGCAAAAAGCCCUCAGUCCUAGUGGAAGAAGGAAUUGAAUUCUGCUAACAACUUAAACGAGCUUAGAAGUGAGUCCUUACCCCUUCAUGUCCCAGCACCUGUGGCAAGAAUUGGGAUAUGCUGAAUUGGAAGAGGAAGGGAAAAACGCAAAAAUAUUAGCAAAAUACUUUAAAGGAAAAGCUAUAAGAGAAGAUGGAAACAACUUACAAUGAUCCAAAAGGGAGACAUUAAGGCAAGUGGAAAUGUUAAUGUAGGCUAAAAAGCCUUUUGUCUGGGAAGAAAAUGAAAAAUUCCCCUAAAGGGUAAUUCAGAAGCAAUAAUGAGCAUAGUAAGAGUCGAAUACACACCUAUUGAAUUAAACAACAAGAAUAUUGAAAAUGAUUAGUUAGCAUAUGGAGUCUUCACUGUGCCAAACUUUUAUUCAUUCAGCAAAUAUUAGCAUGCACUAACUCUUUUAUAGUUCACUUAAAUCCUAUGAGGUAAAUAAUAUUGUUACUCUCCAUUUUAUGGAAAAGGGGACUGGAAAAGUUAUGGAACUUGCCCAGGUCGCGUGGCUAGAAAGUAAAAGAUCUGGGUGUUGAAUUCAUGACUCUCUGAUCCCAAUUUUCUCACCUUAAAUCGCAAGUGCUGUGGUGGUAAUAGAAAGGAAACCCAGGUUAAGAAAUACCCACAUGCAGAUGGGAGGAAAGACAAUGAGUUUUUCCUGGAGUUUUAGAAUCACAGUGAUUGCAGAAAAUGCCAUGGAGGGAUGAGGCACAAAGAUAGAGCAUGAGAUGUGCUCUCAGAAUAAAACAGUCGGGGAGUUCCCCCUGUGGCUCAGUGGAAACAAAUCCGACUAGGAACCGUAA
Sus scrofa (pig) is the source of this 3286-nucleotide non-coding RNA. The record is from RefSeq and is a predicted model, not a curated record. Lineage: Eukaryota; Metazoa; Chordata; Mammalia; Artiodactyla; Suidae.